This 406-nucleotide ribosomal RNA is filed under the name uncultured bacterium. RNAcentral's name for it is "partial 16S ribosomal RNA". It matches the Rfam family "Bacterial small subunit ribosomal RNA", at positions 28 to 526 of the family's 1533-position model. The record is from RNAcentral.
GAUGAACGCUAGCUACAGGCUUAACACAUGCAAGUCGAGAAACCGGCGCACGGGUGAUUAACACGUAUCCAACCUGCCCUUUACUCGGGGAUAGACUUUCGCAAGAAAGAUUACUACCCGAUAUGAAGGAUGGGGAUGCGUUCCAUUAGGUUGUUUGUGAGGUAACGGCUCACCAAGCCUUCGAUGGAUAGGGGUUCGGAGAGGAAGGUCCCCCACAUUGGAACUGCGACACGGUCCAAACUCCUACGGGAGGCAGCAGUGAGGAAUAUUGGUCAAUGAGCGCUAGCCUGCACCAGCCAAGUAGCGUGAAGGAUGAAGGCUUAUGGGUCGUAAACUUCUUUUAUAUAAGAAUAUGUAUUAUAUGAAUAAGGAUCGGCUAACUCCGUGCCAGCCGCCGCGGUAAUUC